CCACUGCUCCAUCUCCUCAGGUCCUUAUCUUUUCCUUCAAAGUACCACAUUUCAUCAUCCCUGGGAAAAUAUUUUGAAUAUAAACAUUUUGCCCUCUUUCAACCAUCAGGAGGGCCAGAGUGAAAUAUAAAAUACAUAAUUAGUAACAAAAAACUAUGACACGUUUCCCCUGGUAUAGUACUCCAUUCUUAAGAACUAAGCAAUACAGUGGUACCUUGGUUUUAGAAGAGCUUAGUUUAUGAACAACUUGGAAAUAGAAUGCUGAAAGCCUAGAAGGUGGGAGUAGGUUAGUUUCUCACAACACAUGCUAAAAACUUGCUCUUUUUCUUAACGAAGGGGGUUAUGAUUUUUGUGGAGGAAGAUGCCCUUGCCGCCUCAUGGAUGCCCACGGAUCUCAGGAACAUUAACCUUGCAUGCAUCGUGCAAUGAGGCACCAAAUGUGGAAUGGUGCUGCGGAGCCACAUCUCUGCGUGUGUCCCUGAUGUUCAGACAUUAAGUGUGGGUGUCUUCAAAGGAAAGCUGAUGUGCAUAGCCUUUCCUUGGUAGAGGCAAUGAGGUGCUUGUCCCUUGAAUCAGUGGGUCUAACCAGCAGAAUAGGAGAAUUAUGGGGAAAUAAUUGUAAACAAGUGAAAACGCUAGCAGGAUUGAGGUAAAUUCAACAGUAAAAAUCAUGCUGAGGUAAUAUUUAAAGUGGGGGGCGCGAUUUAGAUGGUUAGAAUAGGAUAUGCAGUAAUGAUGGGAAACUUAAAAGAACCAUGGGAGCUGAAGAAGGGAAGCCAAUGAUUGCAUUAUUUUAUUGGAGAAAGCAUAAUUGUGGAAAAUAAACUUUCAAUAAAAAAUAUUUUUAAAGAGAAA
Molecule: long non-coding RNA, 855 nt
Organism: Podarcis raffonei (Aeolian wall lizard)
Lineage: Eukaryota; Metazoa; Chordata; Lepidosauria; Squamata; Lacertidae
Exons: 2
Source: RefSeq, a predicted model, not a curated record